AUGGCUUCUUCAAGCAUCGAUCCUCGAAUCCAUGAGGACGGUGAUGAAUCUCAGGGACCAAAAGAUGUGCAAGAAAAUGUUGCAACAAAUUGUACUGACAACAGGUUACCAAAGAUUGACAUGACAUUUUUAUCGGAAGAGGAGGCCUACUCAUUUUAUAACAAAUAUGCAAAAGCUACUGGUUUUAGCAUCCGAAGAGGGAGUCACCAUAAAGUGAAGAAUACUACUGUAAUACAACAACGGACAUUUACGUGCUCUUGUCAAGGAUUCCGUGCUGAAGAUAGCAGAGAGGAUUCUUUCAGUUACAGUAGGCCCGAAACACGAUGUGGUUGUCAAGCCCAUAUGAAGAUAAGUCUCAAAAAUGGAUUAUAUUAUGUGUACGAAUUUGAGGCAGCACAUAACUAUCCUCUUGCUACUGGAGACAUGGCCCUAUACUUAAGAUCCCAAAGGAAAGUCACAGAAGCACAAAUAGCAAACGCUGAAGUCGCAAAGUCUGUGGGCAUUUCAAAUAAAGCAACUAUAGAUCUUAUGGCCAAAGAAGCAUGUGGACUUCCAAAUCUUGGGUUUGCACCCGAAGAUAUGAAAAAUCGUUUGUACUCUAAGAGAACACUGCAAGCAAAGAAAGGAGACACAGGGGGGUGUUAG
RNAcentral lists this ribosomal RNA (645 nucleotides) under Triticum aestivum (bread wheat). RNAcentral describes it as "partial small subunit ribosomal RNA". The record is from RNAcentral. Lineage: Eukaryota; Viridiplantae; Streptophyta; Magnoliopsida; Poales; Poaceae.